This is a long non-coding RNA of Photinus pyralis (common eastern firefly), 714 nucleotides long. RefSeq lists it as uncharacterized. The transcript has 3 exons. Lineage: Eukaryota; Metazoa; Arthropoda; Insecta; Coleoptera; Lampyridae. The record is from RefSeq and is a predicted model, not a curated record.
GUCACUUUAGUCUCGGAAGUACGAAAAAUCUACUAAUCACCUAAUUUCACGUGUCCCGUAUAACAACGACUGGCGUUUUUACUUUUUUUAAGCUAACCGCAUAAAAAUUGAUCUCGCGAGCACGAAGCCAUUCAUCAAAAGCCCACGGGAGUCACGUCCGUUUAAUUUUGCAAAUUAAGCGUUUCCCUCGAAACGAAAUCAUUUGGCGUAAUUCCGACUUAGCUGUUUUGGGCACGUAAACCCCAUCAAGACAGCCCCGACAGACUGACGCCUUCCAAAACUCAUUAAUUUUGUUCGAAAGUAACCCUCUAAUAAGAACACCCUGCAUACUCCUUACCAUGUUCAACCCCUUAAAGCGAGCUCCCGUUACAAAGGUCAUCAAGUCAAUGUGUUUUGCCAUUUCCCCGGCGAAAUUGAUCAGCCAUCAAAGCAAGCUUUCAACGACCUUCCAGUUCCAAGAACUCGUCCCUCACACAGACAGACGAAUGGAAAAACGCUCGUAGUAGCACAUUAUAAUUUAAAAAAAUGGCUAACGAGGGAGAGUGAUCCAAAAAUUGAUUUGGCGAAAAGAAUGGAAAACGCGGCACAUCUGGUGUAUAUUACGGGCCACACCUGAUGCAAUAGUAAAUGAUCAAAUUGAAAAUUAUAAUUUGGGAAACGACGUAGUAGUUGUGGAGGGAAGUUAACACCCCCCAGACAUAAGCAUUCGAUGGC